This 497-nucleotide ribosomal RNA is filed under the name uncultured bacterium. RNAcentral's name for it is "partial 16S ribosomal RNA". It matches the Rfam family "Bacterial small subunit ribosomal RNA", at positions 28 to 507 of the family's 1533-position model. The record is from RNAcentral.
GAUGAACGCUGGCGGCGUGCCUAAUACAUGCAAGUCGAGCGAACGGACGAGAAGCUUGCUCCUCUGAUGUUAGCGGCGGACGGGUGAGUAACACGUGGAUAACCUACCUAUAAGACUGGGAUAACUUCGGGAAACCGGAGCUAAUACCGGAUAAUAUUUUGAACCGCAUGGUUCAAAAGUGAAAGACGGUCUUGCUGUCACUUAUAGAUGGAUCCGCGCUGCAUUAGCUAGUUGGUAAGGUAACGGCUUACCAAGGCAACGAUGCAUAGCCGACCUGAGAGGGUGAUCGGCCACACUGGAACUGAGACACGGUCCAGACUCCUACGGGAGGCAGCAGUAGGGAAUCUUCCGCAAUGGGCGAAAGCCUGACGGAGCAACGCCGCGUGAGUGAUGAAGGUCUUCGGAUCGUAAAACUCUGUUAUUAGGGAAGAACAUAUGUGUAAGUAACUGUGCACAUCUUGACGGUACCUAAUCAGAAAGCCACGGCUAACUGCGUG